This 254-nucleotide ribosomal RNA is filed under the name uncultured bacterium. Its description in RNAcentral is "partial 16S ribosomal RNA". It matches the Rfam family "Bacterial small subunit ribosomal RNA", at positions 335 to 603 of the family's 1533-position model. The record is from RNAcentral.
GCGCCUACGGGGGGCAGCAGUGGGGAAUAUUGGGCAAUGGAGGAAACUCUGACCCAGCAACGCCGCGUGAAUGAUGAAGGUCUUCGGAUUGUAAAGUUCUUUUCUAAGGGAAGAAGAAAGUGACGGUACCUGCAGAGGAAGCCACGGCUAACUACGUGCCAGCAGCCGCGGUAAUACGUAGGUGGCAAGCGUUGUUCGGAAUAACUGGGCGUAAAGGAUGCGUAGGCGGUUAAAAAAGUUAUAUGUUAAAUAUA